UCGUGCGGAAUCUCUCAGAGAUGGAGAGGCCUUCGGAGCCGCCAAGACAGGUGCUUGCAAUGGCCUGUUCGUCAGCUUCGUGUUCGUGAGGAUGUUUGGGUUAAGUCCCGUAACGAGCGCAACCCUUGUUCCCUAGUUGCCAGCGAGUCAAGUCGGAACUUAGGGAGACUGCCGGUGACAAACCGGAGGAAGGUGGGGACGACGUCAAGUCAUCAUGGCCCUUAUGAGCAGGGCUACACACGUGCUACAAUGCCGGUACAAAGGCUGCCAACCCGCGAGGGGGAGCUAAUCCCAAAAAACCGGUCGUAGUCGGAGUCUGCAACUCGACUCCAUGAAGCCGAAUCGCUAGUAAUCGUGAUCAGCAGCCACGGUGAUA
RNAcentral lists this ribosomal RNA (376 nucleotides) under uncultured bacterium. Its description in RNAcentral is "bacterial SSU rRNA". It matches the Rfam family "Bacterial small subunit ribosomal RNA", at positions 987 to 1365 of the family's 1533-position model. The record is from RNAcentral.